GACCAGGAAGGAUCUAGGAAGCCAGGCAGUGCCCCCGAAGACACUUCAUAGAGCAGGUUGCACACUACUCUAGAGCCAAGCAAGGUGACAAAUCCUCACCUCAUCGGCUGCAUACCGUGCCAAGAGCAGCUUUCCCCCCCACCCCCGAGCAUUGGGCCGUCUGCCCCAAAAUACUCCGGUUGUGGAAGAGGGCCUACAGAACUUUGACUUUUCGGCAGCUUUGAAAAGAUGGGGGAGAUAACCUUUGCAGCCCUUGUGCUGCUGCUUAGGUCAGGUAAAGAGCGGGGUGCCCUGCCCGUGAUUUCAACGGGGGGGACGGGGGGUUGCGUGCUCCCUGCCUGGCAGCUUUUGGCAGCAGCCUAGCCGGGCAGCCCUCGCCUGACGGGAACGCGGGGGGAAAGGCAGCUUCAGCCCUAGCGGUACCAAGAGAUGGCAGAAAAUGCUGCGUUUCCAGCUUCCCCCCCUUUUAAAAACCCCUUCUUGAAAA
Molecule: long non-coding RNA, 487 nt
Organism: Aquila chrysaetos chrysaetos
Lineage: Eukaryota; Metazoa; Chordata; Aves; Accipitriformes; Accipitridae
Exons: 2
Source: RefSeq, a predicted model, not a curated record